RNAcentral lists this ribosomal RNA (267 nucleotides) under uncultured bacterium. RNAcentral's name for it is "partial 16S ribosomal RNA". It matches the Rfam family "Bacterial small subunit ribosomal RNA", at positions 793 to 1055 of the family's 1533-position model. The record is from RNAcentral.
GUCCACGCCCUAAACUAUGGAUGCUAGCUGUGAGGAGUAUCGACCCUCUUCGUAGCGAAGCUAACGCGUUAAGCAUCCCGCCUGUGGAGUACGAGCGCAAGCUUAAAACAUAAAGGAAUUGACGGGGACCCGCACAAGCGGUGGAGCGUGUUGUUUAAUUCGAUGGUAAGCGAAGAACCUUACCCAGACUUGACUUCCUUGUCGUCGUUCUGUGAAAGCAGAAUUUUCAUUUAGUUGGACAAGUGACAGGUGUUGCAUGGCCGUCGU